GAGUGAAGCGGCAAGAGCUCAAAUUUGAAAUCUGGCUCCUCCGGGGUCCGAGUUGUAAUUUGCAGAGGAUGCUUCGGGUGCGGUCCCCGUCUAAGUACCCUGGAAUGGGUCGUCAUAGAGGGUGAGAAUCCCGUCUGGGACGGGUGGCCGUGUCCGUGUGAAGCUCCUUCGACGAGUCGAGUUGUUUGGGAAUGCAGCUCUAAAUGGGUGGUAAAUUUCAUCUAAAGCUAAAUAUUGGCCGGAGACCGAUAGCGCACAAGUAGAGUGAUCGAAAGAUGAAAAGCACUUUGAAAAGAGAGUUAAACAGCACGUGAAAUUGUUGAAAGGGAAGCGCUUGCGACCAGACUCGCCCGCGGGGGUUCAGCCGGUACUCGUACCGGUGUACUCCCCCGUGGGCGGGCCAGCGUCGGUUUGGGCGGCCGGUCAAAGGCCUCCGGAAUGUAUCGCCCUUCGGGGCGUCUUAUAGCCGGGGGUGCAAUGCGGCCAGCCUGGACCGAGGAACGCGCUUCGGCUCGGACGC
RNAcentral lists this ribosomal RNA (520 nucleotides) under Paecilomyces maximus. RNAcentral's name for it is "partial large subunit ribosomal RNA". It matches the Rfam family "Eukaryotic large subunit ribosomal RNA", at positions 91 to 626 of the family's 3401-position model. Lineage: Eukaryota; Fungi; Ascomycota; Eurotiomycetes; Eurotiales; Thermoascaceae. The record is from RNAcentral.